GACGAACGCUGGCGGCGUGCUUAACACAUGCAAGUCGAGCGAUGAAGCUCCUUCGGGAGUGGAUUAGCGGCGGAUGGGUGAGUAACACGUGGGUAACCUGCCUCAUAGAGGGGAAUAGCCUUCCGAAAGGAAGAUUAAUACCGCAUAAGAUUGUAGUGUCGCAUGGCAUAGCAAUUAAAGGAGUAAUCCGCUAUGAGAUGGACCCGCGUCGCAUUAGCUAGUUGGUGAGGUAACGGCUCACCAAGGCGACGAUGCGUAGCCGACCUGAGAGGGUGAUCGGCCACAUUGGGACUGAGACACGGCCCAGAUCUCUUACGGGAGGCAGCAGUGGGGAAUAUUGCACAAUGGGGGAAACCCUGAUGCAGCAACGCCGCGUGAGUGAUGACGGUCUUCGGAUUGUAAAGGCUCCUGUCUUCCAGGGACCGAUAAUGACCGGUACCCUGAAUGACGAAGCCCACGGCUAACUACGUUGACCAGACAGACCGCGGUAAUACGUAGGGUGGCCAAGACGUUGUCCGGAUUACUGGGACGUUAAAGGGAGAGUAGGUGGAUAUUUAAGUGGGAUGUGAAAUACUCGGGAUUAACCUGGGUGCUGCAUUCCAAACUGGAUAUCUAGAGUGCAGGAGAGGAAAGUAGAAUUCCUAGUGUAGACGGUGAAAUGCGUAGAGAUUAGGAAGAAUACCAGUGGCGACAGCGACUUUCUGGACUGUAA
RNAcentral lists this ribosomal RNA (712 nucleotides) under uncultured bacterium. Its description in RNAcentral is "bacterial SSU rRNA". It matches the Rfam family "Bacterial small subunit ribosomal RNA", at positions 28 to 739 of the family's 1533-position model. The record is from RNAcentral.